Molecule: long non-coding RNA, 6648 nt
Organism: Equus caballus (horse)
Lineage: Eukaryota; Metazoa; Chordata; Mammalia; Perissodactyla; Equidae
Source: Ensembl
GCUUGAGGAAGACUGUUGCUGAGCUAACAUCUAUGCCAAUCUUCCUCUGUUUUAUAUGGGACACCACCACAGUGUGGCUUGACGAGCAGUGCUAGGUCCGUGCCCAGGAUCUGAACCUCGAACCCUAGGCUGCCGAAGCAGAGCAUGCGAACUUAACCACUAUGCCACCGGGCCAGCCCCCUCAGGGAAUUCCAGGAGCUUCUAGCUCAGCACUUUGAAUUCUUCAGUAGGUUUGGAGUGGAAAACCACAGAAGGGAACCAUGGCAGAAACUGCAGUUGUCCUCCAGUCUGUACUUCUUUUCUUAUAUAACAGAACUUCCGGCAAGACACGUGGUCACCAAGUUUCCCUGCCUUCCUUGCAGAAUGAAGAUGUGAGAGUUGGAGCUGGAGCAGCUGAGGAGUCACGCACUCAGGAUUGCAAACGGAAGCCAAGUAUUGACAAGGGUGGCAGCACAACAAGGAAAACACAUUGGGCCCCUGACACUGCUGAACAACCACUGUAUUCUGGCAUCUCUUUGUCAGUUGUUGAACCUCUAUCCUAAGUAAUACCAGAUCUAAACAUUUAGUACAACAGACUUCCUGAUCCUGAAACCGAGUGUGCCCUUUGUAAAGAAUGUACAAUCGAGUUAGUCAAGCUUUCUUUUGCUUAUGGGUGCAAGGACCCAAUUCUACCUCAGUGAUCAAGAGUGACUCCUUAUUUCAGAACAUGUUAUAUAAUUGGGAUGGUGAAGACACUGCAGAAACUCAUCUGGUAUUUUCAGCUGAUCACGUAUGCUUGGGUUCUUAGUUUCCGUCUUUCUGCCUGAUACUGACCAACCCCUCUUUUGUCCCCCCACACUCCAAUUCAAAAUUUGUGCAAGUGGUGCCAAGGGUUUUGUGUAGGAGGGCUGCCCAAAUGAGCUUUUCUUGCCAUCUAGCCUCUCAGGCAAUGUGGUGAAUUCAAGGCCACACCUGCCACUUAGUAAGAAUGCAAACAAAUUAUUGAGAACUAUAAUUAUUCAUGUAUUAACACACAGGAUAAGUUAAGAUGACUAAGGAUAAGCCACGGAGCAACCACUUAAUAGAAAUCCUGAAUUUUUGGGAUGGCUCUUAGGAACACUAAGUAUGCUUUCCUUCUGAGCUGGUUGCUCAUUGGCGAAGAUUCCAGCAAGAGACUUAACUCUAGCCUGUGACCUUCUUGGGUCCUGCUGAGUCCCUUUUUAAUCUAUACUCAGAAUGUCAUAAAGAGAGGCUGCUGAAGCUCCCCCCAACCCAAGCCGGUUAGCAGCUCUGGUCUACUCAUGGAAGUCUUUAAUCCAUCCAGAUUAAAAUAACACCCAGUUGACUGCUGGAUACACUUCAUCGUUGUGUCUGAGAACUCCCUCUCAACUUCCGAGGUUAUUCUCUGAUACCAUGCUUGAGGUACUCGAUAGUAUUUCAUUUUCCCAAUUUUUCAAGUAAGGAAGCUGAAAAGUCACACAGCAGCAUCGGGGUUUAAACCUUCCAUGGUCUGAGGCCAAAGCCCAUUUUGUUUCCAGCUCUCACUGAGCAGAGUUGAGGCUGGAAGACCAUCUGACAGCCUUCCAGCCCCGUCAGCAUCUUUACUGAGUAGCUUUGUUAUUUGAUGUAAACAGUCGUAAAUUCCCAGAACCGGAGACACACCCAUAUAAAAAUGUUAAUUACUAAAAUGCCUCAUAAAACCAAAGGAAAAUGAACAGUGAAUUCAAGUCCCACUAGAAUUCUCUGUCUCUGGAUCCCCUCCACUAGGACAAACAAUUGAGAACUGACAAGAUUUAAUUUUUCUUAAGUUCUAUCCAGUCAGAUCUCUCAAAUCUGACCCCUCCAGCCAUUCUGUGAAACUUAUUAAUUACGGAGAAAACGAUGACUGACGCUAUGCUUUAAGCUGCUCUUCAAAUGGAAACAUAUGAGAAACUGAGGCUUGUUUAAGUAACAGACCUUCUCCAGGCCCCCAAGUUUUGCUGAAACUGUCAGAGGACACACACAUGGACGACUGUGCUAGUGCUUACUCUUUCUGAAAGUUCCAGAAACCACAGCUUCUGGUGAAGCGCCCUGCCGGAACAGCAGGCUUUAGAAAACAACAACAAAAAUCCCUCUGGGAUGAAAGAGGCUCAUUUGUUUUCAAGUUGUGGCCCUUCCACCCUCCGGGGGCCCCUCCCUCAUGCCUGCGUCUAAGGCUUUGAUUUAUAAUCUUCCACCCACGCAAGCCUUGGCAUCCGCUGGGAUCCUACAAUGAGGUUGAGGUGUAAACCUGGAGGAAACUUGUAAGGACAAGAGCAAGUUGGGGGUAGAGGGAAAGAGGGAGAGUGAGAGAGAGGAAAAGAAAUUAGGAGACCACACGCUUGGCACAAUUGAAUGAGCACAUGUGUUGGGAAGGCCCAGCUGACUAAGGAGUGCUGACUGUGGGUUUGGUGGCCAAGACCAUGCCUUUGGUUCUGCGGCACAGCUUCCAGCAGGAGAGCUCAUUGCCCAGUGCACUGUGACCAGGAUGGCUGGCAUGUGAACACUCCUCCUCUUUUGUCAGGAUUUCUUUUAUAGGCUUGCACAGCCAGAUCUGUGUUCCCAGCUGUAAGGCUGGGGAUUCAGUGUAUCCCCUGGGGGGUAAAUAGUAGCAGCUGCAAUCUUCUGCCAGAAAAGAACUUGCUGCCCCAGCUUGGAGGUUCAGCGGAUGAUGAGCCCAAGUUGUUCUGGAACACAAAAUAUGAUUCCCCAUGGGCCAACCUUUGCAAACUGCAAGAUGGCAAGCAAAUAUGGACCCUCGUGGUUCUAAUAGGUAUCACUAUGGCAGGGCUAGAUCGAUGGGCUUUCUUGAAAAGGAGGGAGCCUCAGAACUGAUGGAUUAGUGCCUGAAGGGAGUUGCAAGAUUCUCCUUGCACUUCUGAAGUCUGCGUAACUCAAAAUUCUCCCUUUGGCAAGUGUUUCUGAGGCAGCGUUGAAGCCAUGGGUUCUAGAGACUGACUCAGGUUAGAAGUCUGGCUCUGACACUUACCAUCCGGGUGACCUAGCGCAAUUUUCUCCCCUAGAAAACGGGGAUAAUACCCUCUACCUUACUGGAUUGUGGUUGUGUUAGAAAUAAUGUACGUAAAGUGCUUAGCAUAGUGUCCGAGCAUAUAAUAGAGGCUCAAUAAACACUUAGCCAGAGCUGUUGAUGAGAAAAUUAAUCUGGUUUAGCACUGAAGUAGUGGAAGAGAAGGAGAAACGGUAGUGACAUGUCUAAUACAACACACUUAGGAAAAACAAGCAUGGGGACAUUUAUUAUAUAUAGGACCAAGUAAACGCUCCAGAGGGACUCGGGGAGCCCAGGAGGUACAGAUGUUAAGCACCAAAGUCCAUGUCUGUCACUGCAGGAAAAGAACCAUAGAUGGUUUCUCAGGAUAUCUGGAGAGGGCAGGUAAUUCUUGGACUGUGUCAGAGGAAAUAAAUUUUAGCUGCAUAGCCUAGGCAAUGCUAUAAUUAGGUGACAACGGAUGAGAAUUGUGGAACUUACUACUUUCAUUGAUUUGUAAAUUCUGAUUUACAUGGGUUCCAUAGAGUCAAUCAUGCUGCAUUCACACUGGUACAAUGAUAAGACAAAUACUGUCCACAGCCCGUUCAGAAAGCACACUAACCCAAAAAAUGGCAUUUGGAGCCUCUGGUUUAGAAAUCAGAAGUUUGAAUCCAAAUCUUCAAUUUUUUGGACUAAUUAUUUUUUCUGUCAUUCUGCAUCUUCUAUAUUUUCCAAGAUCUACCAUAUAAUCACUUACCUUGAACAUUAAAACAAGACAAAUAUUUCUUAAGGGCAUGCAAUGAUAGGCACUGUGAAGGAUCCAAAGGAAUUGAACGUGCUUCCAGACUCCACAAUUGGCAGGAACUGACCAGAGAUUAGAAUCAUAUCCAGGCUUGUAUUCUUUAUUUUCUUAGCCACUCUUUAACAUUCUUCGCAUUCCCCAACUGGCUGAUUACAACACCUGAGUCAAGAUUGAUUGCUGUCUUCAAGCAUGUUUAGUAUUGACUGGAUCUAUUUAUAUGUAAAAAACAGCUAGCAAUUAUUGAGCUCCUACUAUGCGCAGGGCAUCCACAUUACACGUAUUCGUUCCUCUAGUCCUGAGAGGAACCGUAUGUGGUUCUUACAAUUAUCAACUUCAUUUUAUAAAUGAGGAAAUUGAAGCCUCGAGAUUAAGGAACCAGAGCAAGGUAACAGCCUAGGGAGUGUCAUCGCUAGGAAUUAAUGUGUAGGUGCAGAGAGGGGUAAGUCUCUUUGGAUGCCAGGGAAAGAAAUGAGAUGAAUCACACUGGGAAGGGGGACUGAAAUUUACAUUUUACCAUCUUCCAGACAACAGCUCAGUAAGGAAAGCUGCUUUUGUCACUUACAAAUAAUGCUGUAGAGGGCGCCAAAUAUACAAGCCGCGACGUUAAGGCUGUUUGGAUAAUAACACAGUUCCCACAGUGCUACCAGAUAUAUAAUCAGUAAUGGAUUCAAGCCAAAAGGCCCUCCCAAAAAGAGUAUGACGCAGUUUAUGAUAAUUAAGAAGCUGUAUUUCUAUCCCCUCAAUUAAAAAAAAGAAAGAAUCUCAUGCUUUAUAUUGAGCAAUUCAUAAUUUGUUUCUACUUGAUCCUGAUUGUUAUUCAAAGUACCUUUCAGCCGGGUGUUUAAUUUCUCUUUGCUCAGCCUGCUGAGUGGAGAAGGGAAAGGACAGAGCAACCUGGAUGGAAAUACAUUUCUAACAACUGCACUGAGAUGUAGUUUUAGCUUUUAAGUUUUACUUAACACAGUAAAACGUGCAUACAUUUAAGAAAAAGAAAAAAAUCCAUAUACAACAGCUUAAGUGAAAAGGAACAAGGCUCCAACCUCGAGUCAACAUCUUUUAGUGAUAACUCCACAUUUCCAAACAAAUCAAGAUAUAGAAAUAUAGACAUAUCAAACUAUUUACUUUCCUCUGUGAAAGUUGAGUUAGCUAACAGAAUAUACAUCUCUCAUAAAUCACAAAGUUUACAAAAUAAUCUUUAUUGUUUCCCACUAUUACAAGAGCAACACAUCAUCACUGCAGAACAUUUUAAAAAUAGAAAGAGGAAAUCAUUAACAUUUUGAUGUAUAUCCUUACGGGCACUUUUUUUUUUUUUUACGAAAAUGCGAUUACCGUGUGCAUGUGAUUUCAUUAAACUACACAUGAUGCUCAUCUCUCCGUGUCAGUAGACGGUCUUCCAUUUCACUUUGGGUUUGUCUUAUUGCAGCGUGAUUUACAUGGAGGUUAAGUGUUCUGAGGCGUAAGGAAGCUCCAGCUCCUCGGCCGUCGGGGUGUUGAGGGCACCGUCCAGGCUGUGUCGGGGGCCAGGACUGAGAGUCCUGCCGGGAGUGCAGAAUCGGACCCCGCCCGGCAGGGAAACGUUCUAACUCCUCAACACCGCAGGCCUCGGAGCACCGGGAGUCACUCACGAGCGGGGAGUUCGCCCAUUGUUCGGUGGAAGAUAACCUCUCGUCUAAUUCUUUGCAAUUCCCGUGUAAACUGCCCUAAGCACAGACAACGAGCAGAGUCAUCAGUGAACCAGAGAGAGAAGGCAGGCUGGCCUCUCUCCCGCGCCCGCCCUCUGCGCCCCAUCCCAACCGUCGGGCCAGCGUCGGGGAGCGCAGAGGCCGCCAGGCAGCGGCCUAAAACGUGUCGGGGUCGGGGCAGUUAGUCACCUCCUGGUACGCCUCCACUCCCUCGGCUCCCUGUGAGGUAGACCCCGCCGCCGUCACCAGCAACCCAGCCCGAGGCCGGCAUCCAUUUCCUCCCGGCGCCAGCGCAGCGGGCGCGCGGGCGGCGACCUGAGGCCAGAAGAUGGCGGCCGCGCCAGGCUCCGAGGCCGACGGAGCGCGGCGGGCGCAGAGCUGGCAGCGGCGCUGAGCAGGCUCUCCGGAGGGAGGGCGGCGCAGCGGGGUUAAGGGGAGCGGGCGACCAAGAGGGCACCGGGCACCGGAAGAGCCCCCGCCGCGCAACGGCCGCAGACGGCGCGGGCGGAAGCGGCCUGGCUGGGCGUCCGGCGCCGCCCGCCGCGGGGGAGCACGCUUCCUCUCUCCUCCGAGGCCGUGGCCCAGCUCCCCCGGCCCGCGGGCCUCCCGGCGGUCUCCGGCCUGAGAGGGCUGCGGCGCGCCCCGUCGCCCCGUGACGCAGGAAGCAGCGCGGCCGACGCCCUUCCCCGCGCGGGCCGGCCGCCAACGCCCGAGGCCGCGCCCGCCGCUCGCGCUCCGGACGGGCCGCGCGGGCGCCCACCCGCGAGAAAGGGGCGAGCCCUCACGAAGGCCGCCUCCCCCGGCGGGCGCGGCCGGGUGUCCGCAGACGACACUCGCAGCGCCGCUUCCACGGAAGGUCAGCGCCGGGUUCCGGAGCCUCCCCCUGUGGACCGGCCAGGCUCCGCGCGGGGCCGGCGUUCUCUCCAAACAGCUCCCCGGCCUGUCCUCGGCCCCUCUCGGCCAGCGGGCUUCCGCGAGGCCGCGGGGAGAGCACGCGCCGCGGCGUCCCCGCCCGGAGCCCGAGACAGUCCGAGCUGGGCGCCGCGAAGCACACUUGACCGGGCUGAGGAGGGAUUCGGAGGCCUCGCGGCACGACACUGGGGAAGGAAGGAACUGUUCAGGCCAUUUAGCUUAUUUCCCUGGAGCUGGCUCCUGGCCAGCAAAGAGCGUCCCGGGAAAAG